ACACAAGGGAAUUAUGCUUAAAUUUGUGAAAAAGCUUUGGCAGUUUGAGAUGGUUACAAUUUAGUUUCAGAGAUGGCUAUGUAACUCUCUGAUGUAUUAUCAAGAUGGAAAACUUGGAUAGCUGCAGCAUGUUUGGCAUUGUUGUCACUAAUAACAACUUCAGACAAUUUUAGAAGGAAUUGUUGUUGUUAAUAGACAAUAGAUUUUGACGAUUUGAUUUUCA
RNAcentral lists this unclassified non-coding RNA (223 nucleotides) under Hevea brasiliensis (rubber tree). Lineage: Eukaryota; Viridiplantae; Streptophyta; Magnoliopsida; Malpighiales; Euphorbiaceae. The record is from RNAcentral.